Molecule: transfer RNA, 76 nt
Filed under: Carboxydothermus pertinax
Lineage: Bacteria; Bacillati; Bacillota; Clostridia; Thermoanaerobacterales; Thermoanaerobacteraceae
Description: tRNA-Gln
Rfam family: tRNA
About the family: Transfer RNA (tRNA) molecules are approximately 80 nucleotides in length. Their secondary structure includes four short double-helical elements and three loops (D, anti-codon, and T loops).
Source: RNAcentral
UGGGGCGUAGCCAAGCGGUAAGGCAGCGGUCUUUGGAACCGCCAUUUCGUUGGUUCGAAUCCAGCCGCCCCAGCCA